UUUACAAUGGUGGGAAGCUGGUCUGGAAAGUUUACUAAUUGUUGUGAAAUUUGAAUCGGAUCGAUAAGAUUUUGUUUAUUCACCCUGAUUCUUUCCCAGACAGUAGUCCCACAAGGUAAACAAAGCCACUAAAGAGCCCAUCACCGAUAAGAUCACUCUGUAAUCAGAAGAAUAAGCCGAAAGCUGAUUAAAAUAUCUGCGCACUUACAUCAUAAAAAUGGUGAGUCCGUCCCAUGGUACACUUUCACUUGUUUGGCAACUGGAUUCGCUGAUACUCAUUACCGAGCUGGGAAUACUGACGUUAAGCAGUUGUUUCGUCACCAUACCCAUAAACGUGUUCAUAUAAGUUGCCGAGCAGGAUGCCGGUAGGCAAGUGGCAGUUUUAAAAUGGCCGAUGAUCGAACUCUGGACUCCCAGCGCCUGGGCAAGAGACACUGAAAGAAAACAGUACUUUCCCUGGAUAGUUCUGCCCAGGCUGACUCCAUGAUUGAUGUUGAGGCACUCGUCGAAGUUUCCCAGGUCGUACAUGUUUCCCGUUAGUAGACCAGAUGGUAUUGAACCCCAGGAAUCGAACACUGGCGUAAUACAGAUAAUACGGCCAUUAAAUGAGAACUUGGUUUCGGUUCAAAGUUCACUUACUUUUCAGUGCCCAGUACUGGCCACUUUGAAGUCCAGUCGUAAGCGCAGUCAAAUCGCUUAGACACAGCAUAUCCUCCUGACUUGGCACUCGGGUUUCCAGGGUGCUCAACUCCUCCACAUCAAAAUCCUUUACUUGACCAACAAAAUCAAGGGCAAGUCCUUUGAGUUGGCUGACGCGUUGCAAAUCUGACAGAACAUCCUCGUCAUUCAAGCGUCCGGCACUGAUGAGGCCAAGACCGCAGAGGAAAACUACUCCGACUAUGUUAACCAUGCUGGCUUAACUCUUACUAAUGAUUUCUCACCGAACUUGGAACCCCUUUUAUAUACGAAUUAAAAUGAGAUAAGCACCGUCUACGAACACCAUCAGUGACAUUAGUCAUUUCUUAACAAGUUCAAUGGAAAACGCCUGAUAAGCUAAUCUUUGCAGGUAACUUUAAUCAAUUCUUUUAAAACAUAGUACCAAUAGAUACUUGGUAAGAUUAAGCAUACGAAAUCUCUGUUAUUUAAAUCAACCUUAUCGUACACGUGACAAUAGCUUUAAAUAAAGGUAAGGCACGCGGAUUAAAGAGUCACAUGGUUUUCGGAAUUUGAAUCAAUAAAGAUAUUUAUUGCUGAUUUUAUUGAGACUUUUCAGCGAGUUGGUCAGCACUUGAGUCAUUACCUUCCAGUUCUCUUUGGUUGCUUAAGUCAACAUCAUGUCCAUGGCCUUCGCCCACUCGGUCUGAGUUCGUCAUCGGCUUAUUCUCUGCUGGUGCUUUCUUUUUUGGGCGUAAAAGGCGGUCAAGUCCACCAAUAGGCGCCUCAAUUAGCAAGUACAGGAGAUAGGAAAAAAGCACAGUGAAUCCCAUGGUUGACCAGAAAUUAAGCAUCUGAAAAAUAAUAAUAAGAUCAAAAUAAUCAUUAUCAAUAUGAAAAUACCUGUUGACUUACCACUUGAUAAUUCGAAAAGUUGCCACAGCGGAGAGGAGAGAAAAGUAUUGGCCAUCCCGCCGUAUCCUUGCAUACAGGCAAAGACCACCCAACCAACUGCCAUGGGCCAGCCCACACGGGUAAGGGUGUAAUAAGAUGACACUUCGAGGGUGGUCAUUAGCCAAGGCUUUCCCGACUCAAGUUUCGGAUAGAGUGCGAAGAUCGAGGUAAAGAGCAUAGCCAGGCAAAGAAUCCAUCCCGACCAGACCGCUAUCCAGUUCAUUUUAAACUUUCUUCCCUUAUUCAAGAACACAAAGUAGCCAUACAAGAAUCCAAUGAGCCACGGAGCAGCAAUAGUGGUUGACCAUCAUGGUGGCAAACAGGCAUCCAGAUAGCAAAACUAUUAGAACGCCGAUAGCAGCAGCAGCCUUCUUGCCCCAUUUAUAAAGAGCAAAUAGCAGGAUAGGAGAUAUGAGGAAAAGCUGCAUGUCCACCGCCAAAUACCAGGUAUGAUCUAGGCACUAAAAUAUUCAGGUUUGGGAUCAUAUAAGUCAUCAAAUAACUAUAAAUUAAACAUCAGUUUCCACUUACCAUAUCAUUUGCGAAGUUAACAACGAAAAGCAAGGUCAUGUACCAAGUUUUUGCACAUGAUGCUUUCUUACUAUAUCCGCCCUUGAAAAGUGGCCCAUCCCCCAAAACACCUGUAAGUUGUGUGUAGACCAGAAUAGACAUAGCCAGAAUAGGAAAAAUGCGGAUGAAACGGCGUAUAUACAUUCUUGGAACAUUAAUUUUGCCAUUGUUUCUGAAAAAUUAUUGCAAAUUCAUAAUAAUUAAAUUUUUUAUUUCCAAGAGAGUUAAAAACGUACUUUUCCAUUGUUCCCAGUGCAUUUAAUGAAACCAAGAAACCUCCGAUAAAGAAAAAUGAAUCGACUGAAAAAUUUCCCUCCAGAAAAAACAUUGUGAAAGGCGUUUGAAGCCACUAGAAAAAUAAAAGUAAUUAAAUUUUAAAAAAUAUAUAAAAUAUUUAUUUGAAAAAAUGAAAUUGUACUUACCGAAAGAAAUCUAAAUCGAUUAAUGUUUGGCGCAGAAAACACAUUAUCAUACUGAUGAAUCCAAACCACCCAGAAAAGGGACAUGCACCGAAUUCCGUGAAGGCAUUCAAUUACAUUCGGGUUCGAUUGAUUUACCACAAUGCGGAAAAGUGCACAAGAGUUGGCCCUGGCUGAAAACAACUUGACAGCCGUGUGAAGUUGAUCUGUGAGGUAAGGAUACAUUAAUAUAAUUUUUAAUAUUUAGGUUGUGGUAUUAUAAACAUUUACCCUGACUCUUGACCAAAAAGUAAUCGUACAACGUAGCUAUAGCCACGAUUACGCCCAUCAGUGACAGUAUGACUCUGUAAUCAGAAAUGAUUAGAAGGCACAUCAAUUAAAAUUUCAACAUUCUUACAUUGUUAAAAUCGUUAGUCCACUCCAGGGCUCGCUUUCAGCUGUUUGGCAAGAAUCAUCGCUGAUACUCAUGGCUGUACUGGGUAUACUCACAUUCAGUAUCCUUUUUAAAAUCGUAUCCACAAACUUGUUCAUGUGAGUGGCCGAACAGGAAGCCGGAAAGCAUGUAGCCGUCUUAAUUUUCAAUAUUCCGGCUAAUGAACUCUCAACUCCCAAUAUUUUCGCGGGUGAAACGUCUAAAAAGCAGUAUUUUCCACGUAUGCUGUCCUUCUUGAUAUUGAUGCACUCGUCGAAAUUUCCCAAGUCAUACACGUUACCGGUGAAAAUACCAGAUGGUAUGCCUCCCCAUGCGUCAAUCACUGAAUGUAAAUCACUAAUGAUUUUCUUUCCAAUCUCGCAAUUUGAACUGUUAACUUACUUUUGAAUGCCCAAUAUUGUCCACCUUGAAGAGCCGAGACAAGCUUAGUUAAGUCAUUUAAGCACAGAAGAUCCGCCUGUGUGGGCAAUCGCGAGUCAAACAGGCUCAAAUCAUUUAGCGUUACAUUUUGAAAGUAAUCGGCAAACUCAAUACCCAACGGUUUGAGCUUCCUCAGGCGCUGGUAUUCUUCCAGGACACUUCUGUCCUCAGACUGUAUGGCACCGAUGAGCACCAGCCCACUAAGCAAAAUAAAACUGAGAAUUUUAACCAUGCUAACUGAAUCGCUAUUAAUGGUCACAGUCCAAAUCGUGAGGGUUUAUAUACAAGCGAUAAGUAUUGAAUACGAUAAGGGCAAGGUUGAUUUUUUAAGUGGAGACUCGAAUAUUACUACCCUGUUAACUUUGAAAACACGAACUUCAGUGUUUAGUUCACAUGGUCCUAAUCUUAUUGUUAAGUUAUGUUCAUAGACACAUUAUGUGUCUUCCUGAUUAUACUGCCACUGAUUUAACUUAGAAUGGUUCUAGGUUUUUAAAGUUUGGAUGCAUCUUGCAACUGCUGGAUAUAACUAUUGUCGCUAGGUGAAGCAUGGAAAACGAUUAAUUCCGUUGAAGACACUAUCAGCCGUAUUAUAUUUAGAAUUCGUUCAAAAAAGA
Drosophila melanogaster (fruit fly) is the source of this 4064-nucleotide non-coding RNA. Lineage: Eukaryota; Metazoa; Arthropoda; Insecta; Diptera; Drosophilidae. The record is from Ensembl.